CCGGGGCGCGCCCCGGGCGGGGCGGGGGCACGGGGGGAACGCGAAGAACCUUACCUACUCUUGACAUCCAGCGAAUCCUUUAGAGAUAGAGGAGUGCCUUCGGGAACGCUGAGACAGGUGCUGCAUGGCUGUCGUCAGCUCGUGUUGUGAAAUGUUGGGUUAAGUCCCGCAACGAGCGCAACCCUUAUCCUUUGUUGCCAGCACGUAAUGGUGGGAACUCAAAGGAGACUGCCGGUGAUAAACCGGAGGAAGGUGGGGAUGACGUCAAGUCAUCAUGGCCCUUACGAGUAGGGCUACACACGUGCUACAAUGGCAGAUACAAAGAGAAGCGACCUCGCGAGAGCAAGCGGAACUACAUCUUCGUAGUCCGGAUUGGAGUCUGCAACUCGACUCCAUGAAGUCGGAAUCGC
RNAcentral lists this ribosomal RNA (410 nucleotides) under Proteus mirabilis. RNAcentral describes it as "bacterial SSU rRNA". It matches the Rfam family "Bacterial small subunit ribosomal RNA", at positions 929 to 1335 of the family's 1533-position model. The record is from RNAcentral. Lineage: Bacteria; Pseudomonadati; Pseudomonadota; Gammaproteobacteria; Enterobacterales; Morganellaceae.